This 535-nucleotide ribosomal RNA is filed under the name Rhabditophora environmental sample. Its description in RNAcentral is "SSU rRNA". It matches the Rfam family "Eukaryotic small subunit ribosomal RNA", at positions 21 to 549 of the family's 1831-position model. Lineage: Eukaryota; Metazoa; Platyhelminthes. The record is from RNAcentral.
UAGUCAUAUGCUUGUCUCAAAGAUUAAGCCAUGCAUGCCUAAGUACAGACUGUAGCUAAAGUGAAACUGCGAAUGGCUCAUUAAAUCAGCUAUUACUUAUCGGGUGCACAGUUCUUCCUACUUGGAUAACUGUGGUAAUUCUAGAGCUAAUACACGCCCUGGUUAACUGGCUCGCAAGGGCCGGUUGCAAUUAUUAGACCAAAAUCAGCCCGGGAAACCGGUUUGUACUUGGUGACUCUGGAUAAUUUACUAGACCGUACGGCUUUCACGUCGACGGCUCACCCGAUAUGUGUCUGCCCUAUCAACUAGAUGGUAGCUUAAGAUGCUACGAUGGUGAUAACGGGUAACGGGGAAUCAGGGUUCGAUUCCGGAGAAGGAGCCUGAGAAAUAGCUACUACAUCCAAGGAAGGCAGCAGGCGCGCAAAUUACCCACUCCUGACACAGGGAGGUAGUGACAAUAAAUAACGAUGCGGGACUCAAUCGAGGCCCCGUAAUCGGAAUGAGUACACUUCAAAUCCUUUAACGAGGAUCAAUU